CAGCCGAGCGGUAUUUGUCUUUCGGGACAGAGAGAGCGGCGUACGGGUGCGGAACACGUGUGCAACCUACCUUUAUCAGGGGGAUAGCCUUUCGAAAGGAAGAUUAAUACCCCAUAAUAUAUUGAUUGGCAUCAGUUAAUAUUGAAAACUCCGGUGGAUAGAGAUGGGCACGCGCAAGAUUAGAUAGUUGGUAGGGUAACGGCCUACCAAGUCAGUGAUCUUUAGGGGGCCUGAGAGGGUGAUCCCCCACACUGGUACUGAGACACGGACCAGACUCCUACGGGAGGCAGCAGUGAGGAAUAUUGGACAAUGGGUGAGAGCCUGAUCCAGCCAUCCCGCGUGAAGGACGACGGCCCUAUGGGUUGUAAACUUCUUUUGUAUAGGGAUAAACCUACUCUCGUGAGAGUAGCUGAAGGUACUAUACGAAUAAGCACCGGCUAACUCCGUGCCAGCAGCCGCGGUAAUACGGAGGGUGCAAGCGUUAUCCGGAUUUAUUGGGUUUAAAGGGUCCGUAGGCGGAUCUGUAAGUCAGUGGUGAAAUCUCAUAGCUUAACUAUGAAACUGCCAUUGAUACUGCAGGUCUUGAGUAAAGUAGAAGUGGCUGGAAUAAGUAGUGUAGCGGUGAAAUGCAUAGAUAUUACUUAGAACACCAAUUGCGAAGGCAGGUCACUAUGUUUUAACUGAAGGGUCCGUAGGCGGAUCUGUAAGUCAGUGGUGAAAUCUCAUAGCUUAACUAUGAAACUGCCAUUGAUACUGCAGGUCUUGAGUAAAGUAGAAGUGGCUGGAAUAAGUAGUGUAGCGGUGAAAUGCAUAGAUAUUACUUAGAACACCAAUUGCGAAGGCAGGUCACUAUGUUUUAACUGACGCUGAUGGACGAAAGCGUGGGGAGCGAACAGGAUUAGAUACCCUGGUAGUCCACGCCGUAAACGAUGCUAACUCGUUUUUGGGCUUUAGGGUUCAGAGACUAAGCGAAAGUGAUAAGUUAGCCACCUGGGGAGUACGUUCGCAAGAAUGAAACUCAAAGGAAUUGACGGGGGCCCGCACAAGCGGUGGAUUAUGUGGUUUAAUUCGAUGAUACGCGAGGAACCUUACCAAGGCUUAAAUGGGAAUUGACAGGUUUAGAAAUAGACUUUUCUUCGGACAAUUUUCAAGGUGCUGCAUGGUUGUCGUCAGCUCGUGCCGUGAGGUGUUAGGUUAAGUCCUGCAACGAGCGCAACCCCUGUCACUAGUUGCCAUCAUUCAGUUGGGGACUCUAGUGAGACUGCCUACGCAAGUAGAGAGGAAGGUGGGGAUGACGUCAAAUCAUCACGGCCCUUACGCCUUGGGCCACACACGUAAUACAAUGGCCAGUACAGAGGGCAGCUACCAGGCGACUG
Molecule: ribosomal RNA, 1376 nt
Filed under: Chryseobacterium piscium
Lineage: Bacteria; Pseudomonadati; Bacteroidota; Flavobacteriia; Flavobacteriales; Weeksellaceae
Description: bacterial SSU rRNA
Rfam family: Bacterial small subunit ribosomal RNA
Source: RNAcentral